Long non-coding RNA from Cygnus atratus (black swan), 381 nucleotides. RefSeq lists it as uncharacterized. NCBI's taxonomy places the organism in Eukaryota, Metazoa, Chordata, Aves, Anseriformes, Anatidae. The transcript has 3 exons. The record is from RefSeq and is a predicted model, not a curated record.
GACUAGGGAGUAGAUCAGUGGUGACCCACAUCUGGGGAGAAACAGCAAGGAUUGCCAGAGAACCACCUUUUGCUGAAAGAGAAGAAAAGGAAUACAUGUAAUACCUAAGAAAUGGAGAAAACAAAUGAACUUGUCUCCCUGGGAUUUUGGAAAACCAGUGCACCAUGUCUUGUGUUAGGCUGCAUUUUGGUCUUCGGACUGUGUUUCUGUGAUUCCUUCCAUCCAGUGUUGAUGAUGAUCAGAUUGUACAUCAACAGACCUACAGCUAAUAGCUUAAUUAUCCUGGCCCACUAUUAGGUAAUUCCUAGGUCUCGGUCCUUAGGAACUAUUCAUAUGGUUUUAUGCAAGUUCACAAUCUAGUAAAUUUGUCCAAUAUUUGUA